GACCCGGCACAUUGGGACUGAGACACUGCCCAGACUCCUACGGGAGGCUGCAGUAACGAAUAUUGCACAAUGGGCGCAAGCCUGAUGCAGCGACGCCGCGUGUGGGAGUAAGCCCUUCGGGGUGUAAACCACUGUCAGGGACUACCAAGCAAUGGAGGUGAAUAAUCUCCUGCGUUGAGGCGUCCCAGAGGAAGUCACGGCUAACUUCGUGCCAGCAGCCGCGGUAAUACGAAGGUGGCAAGCGUUGUUCGGAAUCACUGGGCUUAAAGAGCACGUAGGCGGACUGUCAAGCGUCUUGUGAAAUCCCUCGGCUUAACCGAGGAAUUGCUGGGCGAACUGACAGUCUUGAGGCAAGUAGGGGCGCACGGAACUCUUGGUGGAGCGGUGGAAUGCGUAGAUAUCAAGAGGAACGCCAGAGGCGAAGGCGGUGCGCUGGGCUUGACCUGACGCUGAGGUGCGAAAGCCAGGGGAGCGAACGGGAUUAGAUACCCCGGUAGUCCUGGCCAUAAACGAUGUCUACUAGAUCUGAGGUGUUCUGACACACUUCUGGUCGAAACAAAAGCGUUAAGUAGACCGCCUGGGGAGUACGGUCGCAAGGCUAAAACUCAAAGGAAUUGACGGGGGCUCACACAAGCGGUGGAGCAUGUUGCUUAAUUCGAUGCAACGCGAAGAACCUUAUCCUGGGCUUGACAUGCUUGGAUGCCCAUCUAGAAAUAGAGUAGGCUGCCCUUCGGGGUGAAACUUGCACAGGUGCUGCAUGGCUGUCGUCAGCUCGUGUCGUGAGAUGUUGGGUUAAGUCCCGUAACGAGCGAAACCCUUGUCGUUAGUUGCCAGCGAGUAAAGUCGGGGACUCUAACGAGACUGCCGGUGUUAAACCGGAGGAAGGUGGGGAUGACGUCAAGUCCUCAUGGCCUUUAUGCCCAGGGCUGCAAACGUGCUACAAUGGCGUGUACAAACCGACGCAAGACCGCGAGGUGGAGCAAAUCGGAAAAAGCACGCCCCAGUUCGGAUUGGAGUCUGCAACUCGACUCCAUGAAGUUGGAAUCGCUAGUAAUCGCAGAUCAGCAAUGCUGCGGUGAAUGUGUUCAUGAGCAUUGUACACACCGCCCGUCAAGUCAUGGAAGCCGGGAGCACCCGAAGUCGGGGU
Molecule: ribosomal RNA, 1147 nt
Filed under: uncultured organism
Description: bacterial SSU rRNA
Rfam family: Bacterial small subunit ribosomal RNA
Source: RNAcentral